AUUGAACGCUGGCGGCAGGCCUAACACAUGCAAGUCGAGCGGAUGAAGGGAGCUUGCUCCUGGAUUCAGCGGCGGACGGGUGAGUAAUGCCUAGGAAUCUGCCUGGUAGUGGGGGAUAACGUCCGGAAACGGGCGCUAAUACCGCAUACGUCCUGAGGGAGAAAGUGGGGGAUCUUCGGACCUCACGCUAUCAGAUGAGCCUAGGUCGGAUUAGCUAGUUGGUGGGGUAAAGGCCUACCAAGCCGACGAUCCGUAACUGGUCUGAGAGGAUGAUCAGUCACACUGGAACUGAGACACGGUCCAGACUCCUACGGGAGGCAGCAGUGGGGAAUAUUGGACAAUGGGCGAAAGCCUGAUCCAGCCAGGCCGCGUGUGUGAAGAAGGUCUUCGGAUUGUAAAGCACUUUAAGUUGGGAGGAAGGGCAGUAAGGUAAUACCUUGCUGUUUUGACGUUACCAACAGAAUAAGCACCGGCUAACUUCGUG
RNAcentral lists this ribosomal RNA (484 nucleotides) under uncultured bacterium. Its description in RNAcentral is "partial 16S ribosomal RNA". It matches the Rfam family "Bacterial small subunit ribosomal RNA", at positions 30 to 507 of the family's 1533-position model. The record is from RNAcentral.